UACGGAGGAUCCGAGCGUUAUCCGGAUUUAUUGGGUUUAAAGGGUGCGUAGGUGGUUUGAUAAGUCAGCGGUGAAAGUUUGCAGCUUAACUGUAAAAAUGCCGUUGAAACUGUCGGACUUGAGUGUAAAUGAGGUAGGCGGAAUGCGUGGUGUAGCGGUGAAAUGCAUAGAUAUCACGCAGAACUCCGAUUGCGAAGGCAGCUUACUAAGCUACAAUUGACACUGAAGCACGAAAGCGUGGGGAUCAAACAGG
Molecule: ribosomal RNA, 253 nt
Filed under: uncultured bacterium
Lineage: Bacteria
Description: partial 16S ribosomal RNA
Rfam family: Bacterial small subunit ribosomal RNA
Source: RNAcentral